AUAUUGGGGUUAAUUGAAUAAAUUGAAAGAUAAUGAGAAGGGAACUCUCGGACUUGGAGGCAAUCCCGAUUCAACUAGGCUUGCACGAGGUGGCGGGUGAUCAGACACAAGGUGAAUUCGAACUACGAGUUCAACGGAAAGCGGUUGAGAUUCCUCUUCAGAUCCAGUUGCGAAGAACAAAUUCAUCGAAUGCUGCGCUUUAGGUUUGCUUGAUGAAUCGAACCAUGGGGGAGGAAGGUUGUUCGGUCUCCAAAGAAGUGGAAGUGGCAGUCUGCAUGGCUAUGGCUCUGUUCUACGUCGCCGUUGUCCAUUCUCCUGCUUUGAUACUUCCGUCUAUCACCUCCUCCUUCUCUUCAAGUUUACAUGAUUCGACGGUUUCUGUUCGCCAUCAUUUUCACCGCCGUCUCAGUCGUCGUCUGCGCUCUAAUCCUUCCUGUUUCCAUCACAAUGCUGACUUUCCCCUUCUCAUUUUGUUUCAUGCUAGAUAAGGAAAAUGGAGUUUUCACUGUUAUUAGCAGCUUGCGGUAUCUGAGCAGAUCAUAUUUCUGCAUAUUGGAAAGGUGAAAUGAAUCCUAAACUUGCAUCCUGAAUUGCAAUUUUAUCUAUGGAGCAGUGGCAAGCCGUGUUCUUUCCUCUUUCAUUGACUUCUUUAAUGUAGGUUGGAUUAAUGGUUUUAAAGUCUUUGUUAUUGGUGGAUUCAUGGAGAGAGCAUAUGAAUCACGGAGAAGGCUCCCUUUCGGACUGUGCUGAAUUUUUUUGGACGAGUUCUUGAUCGGGGACUAUUAACAGUCUCAAAUCUUUUAGCUUGGAGAAAUUAUGUUGUGGCUCCACUAACUGAGGAGUUGGUGUUUUGAGCAUGCAUGAUACCAGUUCUUCUAUCUGGGGGGAUUUAAGCCAACCACUAUGAUUUCUCUGCUCCAUUCUUUUCAGUCUGGGCAAUCUUCUUGCCCCGUUAGUUGCUCGUGUUUUUUGCAACCUUAUGGGAUUACCUGCUUUUUUUUCUCAAAGAAGAGGAGCAUGAAGAUGAAGCUUUUCCCGAUCUCAAGAAACUCGAUCAGAGGUAAUUAGUUGAGAUUUAUCAAUAAAGUGAAAUUAUAUCAAUAUAAUUGAGUUAGGUAAAUAAUUGAAGCUAUUUUUUCUACCUCAAACAAGAAUAAAGAAAUAUAAAUCUUAAUUUCAAACAAGUCUCUCUCUUUACCCAGCUCAACCCCUUCCAUGCAAGAUAACCACGUCUCAAACCAAUAAAAAAAAAAAAAAAAAAACCAUGACAAUGUAACGUAAAAUCAGAACUUAGGAAGGAAGAUAUGAACAUGCAUAUAAUUAAUAAGCUUUUAAAAACAUUCCCACAUGGUUGUCUUCACUAGACAAAAUUCAUUAUUCUUUCAAAUCUUUUAAAUGAUCUCCUACCCUUUAUUACCCAAUUAAAUAAAAUUUUAAAAACAAAACAAAAAAUAGGGAAAUACCAGCCCUGUUCAUCUUUUUGGGAAUCUUGGCUUUGAAACUUACCAAAAACUACAAACAAAAAUGAUAAUGAAGCCACUUGAAAUUGGGUGCCUUACUGAUUUUCUUUAUUGCAAAGACAUGAUUUUAAAUACUGUCUCAAGUGUUCAAAUUAAAUGGAUAUGAACAAACCCAUUUAAGAUUGUUUAAUUCAAUCAAAAUUAGAUAUGAGAGAGAAAGAAAGAGAUUAUAGUCUGAAAAUGGUUUUCCAUUAGAUAGCCUGAUACAUCAUUUUGAAGUACAGAAAAUCCAUAUCCUAAACCCCCAAAAAAGAUGUGAAAAAAGAAAUUAAAAAAAAAAAAAA
Molecule: long non-coding RNA, 1804 nt
Organism: Cucurbita moschata (crookneck pumpkin)
Lineage: Eukaryota; Viridiplantae; Streptophyta; Magnoliopsida; Cucurbitales; Cucurbitaceae
Exons: 6
Source: RefSeq, a predicted model, not a curated record